CAAGUCGAACGAGAAAGGGUAGCAAUACCUGAGUAAAGUGGCGCACGGGUGAGUAACACGUGACUAACCUACCCUGGAGUGGGGGAUAACUGAGGGAAACCUUAGCUAAUACCGCAUAACACCUACGGGUCAAAGGAGCAAUUCGCUUCAGGAGGGGGUCGCGGCCGAUUAGUUAGUUGGCGGGGUAAUGGCCCACCAAGACGAUGAUCGGUAUCCGGCCUGAGAGGGCGCACGGACACACUGGAACUGAAACACGGUCCAGACUCCUACGGGAGGCAGCAGUGGGGAAUUUUGCGCAAUGGGGGAAACCCUGACGCAGCAACGCCGCGUGGAGGAUGAAGUCCUUCGGGACGUAAACUCCUUUCGAUCGGGACGAUUAUGACGGUACCGAGAGAAGAAGCCCCGGCUAACUUCGUGCCAGCAGCCGCGGUAAUACGAGGGGGGCGAGCGUUGUUCGGAAUUAUUGGGCGUAAAGGGUGCGUAGGCGGUUUGGUAAGUCUUAUGUGAAAUCUACAGGCUCAACUUGUAGUCUGCAUGAGAAACUGCCGGGCUUGAGUAUGGGAGAGGUGAGUGGAAUUCCUGGUGUAGCGGUGAAAUGCGUAGAUAUCAGGAGGAACACCUGUGGCGAAAGCGGCUCACUGGACCAUAACUGACGCUGAUGCACGAAAGCUAGGGGAGCAAACAGGAUUAGAUACCCUGGUAGUCCUAGCCCUAAACGAUGACUGCUUGGUGUGACGGGUACCCAAUCCCGCCGUGCCGUAGCUAACGCGUUAAGCAGUCCGCCUGGGGAUACGGUCGCAAGGCUGAAACUCAAAGGAUUGACGGGGGCC
RNAcentral lists this ribosomal RNA (830 nucleotides) under uncultured Acidobacteriaceae bacterium. Its description in RNAcentral is "bacterial SSU rRNA". It matches the Rfam family "Bacterial small subunit ribosomal RNA", at positions 58 to 921 of the family's 1533-position model. Lineage: Bacteria; Pseudomonadati; Acidobacteriota; Terriglobia; Terriglobales; Acidobacteriaceae. The record is from RNAcentral.